CCCCAGCGCCCCAAGCGGGAAUCACGAUUAUUGGGUCUAAAGCGUUCGUAGCAGGUUCUGUAAAUCUUUUGUGAAAUCGGCAGGCUUAACUUGUCGGCGUGCAGGGGACACUGCAGAACUCGAGACCGGGAGAGGCUAGAAGUAUUCCUUGGGUACCGGUAAAAUGGGUUAAUCCAAGGAGGACUACCAAUGGCGAAGGCAUCUAGCCAGAACGGUUCUGACUGUGAGGAACGAAAGCUAGGGGAGCAAAACG
This 253-nucleotide ribosomal RNA is filed under the name uncultured archaeon. Its description in RNAcentral is "partial 16S ribosomal RNA". It matches the Rfam family "Archaeal small subunit ribosomal RNA", at positions 474 to 726 of the family's 1478-position model. The record is from RNAcentral.